CCCNUACGGGAGGCAGCAGUAGGGAAUCUUCCGCAAUGGACGAAAGUCUGACGGAGCAACGCCGCGUGAGUGACGAAGGUUUUCGGAUCGUAAAACUCUGUUGUAAGGGAAGAACAAGCCCCAUUUAACUGAUGGGGCCCUGACGGUACCUUACCAGAAAGCCACGGCUAACUACGUGCCAGCAGCCGCGGUAAUACGUAGGUGGCAAGCGUUGUCCGGAAUUAUUGGGCGUAAAGCGCGCGCAGGCGGUCCUUUAAGUCUGAUGUGAAAGCCCACGGCUCAACCGUGGAGGGUCAUUGGAAACUGGGGGACUUGAGUGCAGAAGAGGAAAGUGGAAUUCCAUGUGUAGCGGUGAAAUGCGUAGAGAUGUGGAGGAACACCAGUGGCGAAGGCGACUUUCUGGUCUGUAACUGACGCUGAGCGCG
Molecule: ribosomal RNA, 425 nt
Filed under: uncultured Bacillus sp.
Lineage: Bacteria; Bacillati; Bacillota; Bacilli; Caryophanales; Bacillaceae
Description: bacterial SSU rRNA
Rfam family: Bacterial small subunit ribosomal RNA
Source: RNAcentral